RNAcentral lists this ribosomal RNA (253 nucleotides) under uncultured bacterium. Its description in RNAcentral is "partial 16S ribosomal RNA". It matches the Rfam family "Bacterial small subunit ribosomal RNA", at positions 524 to 776 of the family's 1533-position model. The record is from RNAcentral.
GACAGAGGGUGCAAACGUUGUUCGGAAUUACUGGGCGUAAAGCGUGCGUAGGCGGCUCUGCAAGUCAGAUGUGAAAGCCCCGGGCUCAACCCGGGAAGUGCACUUGAUACUGCAGAGCUUGAGUGUCGGAGAGGUUGGUGGAAUUCUCGGUGUAGAGGUGAAAUUCGUAGAUAUCGAGAGGAACACCGGCGGCGAAGGCGGCCAACUGGACGAACACUGACGCUGAGGCACGAAAGCGUGGGGAGCAAACAGG